Molecule: transfer RNA, 68 nt
Filed under: Allobates aff. tapajos 2 AR-2020
Lineage: Eukaryota; Metazoa; Chordata; Amphibia; Anura; Aromobatidae
Description: tRNA-Phe
Rfam family: tRNA
About the family: Transfer RNA (tRNA) molecules are approximately 80 nucleotides in length. Their secondary structure includes four short double-helical elements and three loops (D, anti-codon, and T loops).
Source: RNAcentral
GUUUAGAUAGCUUAACCAAAGCAUAGCACUGAAAAUGCUAAGAUGAGCCGUAAAAAGCCCUCCAAACA